CAAAGCCACAGCAUUCCCCUCCCCCCCCCUCCCCCUUAAAGGGGGGCAGAGCACAAGGCUGAGGAGGGCCUAAGCCUAAGGGCGGGGAGCGGGGCGGUGGCAGGAGAGCUGAGGCACGGAGGGAGGGAGGGAGGAAAGGAGAGGGAGGGGAGGAAAAAGGUGAUGAGAAGGAGGCGGAGGGAACCGCAGAGGUGCAGGGCGAGAGCAACGCUAAGAACCAGGGUUAAGAAUCAGUGUUUAAGUAAAAACGCUUCCUUGGGGGACUUCAUCUGGUUACAGCUUUCCUUAAGGUUUUGAUGGUUUGGGGGAAAACCCUGCUUUGUUCUGAGGGGCAACUUGCGUGGCUGCAGAGGCCGUCUAGUAUUCCACACCGUUUCCAGCUCCGUCUUGCUGCUUCCAUCCCCGAUCAGCAUCACUUGGAGGAGUUGGCUGCUUUAAGCGCAGCUCGCCGGAGCUAAAGCUCUGCUCUUCCCAAGGCAGGCUCCGUGCAGCGGGGCGUCCCGCAUAGCCAUGGCAUGGCAAAGCAGAGCGGAUCCGGCUCACAGCUCUUGGGGAGAGCCCUGCCUCCAAGGGAUGCUUUUAGUGCCCUGGGUCUCCGUGCAGCUGAGCUCAGGAUUCUCGGUUGUUUGGAUUCAGGUUGUGGAUUUGUUUUGUUUGUUUUGCUUUUCUCUUCCCCUCCUCUUUUCAAGACUACUGAACUAAGAAGGAAGAAGUCCUUGGGGUGGCUUCUCUUUGCAAACAGGCACUGGAGGCUGCUUAAAGAUCUCGACUUUGCUUUUGCAGUGUACCUGAGAACUGGUUGUCAAAGCCUGCAAGGACUUGAGCUGCCUGUGGCACAUGAAGGAAGGCUAUACAAAGUUAGGCAGAGAAAACAGCUGGCCCGCUUUCAUUGUGGGAACAGGAAUGAGGAAGUUAAAUGUAAAAUUUUCCCUGAAGUGAAAGCAGAAUCCUUAUUAUGAAAUGGGUUGACUGCCAGGCUUUGCUGAAGCACUCAAAUUGCGGAGACAUGUAGAAGUGCCCUAGAUGACAGAGAUGAUGAUCCUGCCCCUAGCUGCGUGUUCAAGUCCUAAUGUCUCUUCCCUUACUUUCUGAUGCACAAAGACUUGGCAGUAGCAGCUUUUGCAGUUUCCCCGAUAUCAGCAAGCCGUUUAUCUCCUGGCAUAUCUCCAGGCAUAUUUCCUCCAUCUAGAUUAAGGAGCAUACAGCAGAAAGUCUAAGGAUUAUUCUUCUGGCAGUCUUGAAUGUUUCAAUGGACACUGCUUAAGAUCAAUGAGAAAAAGCAUCCUGCCACAUUCAGACUCUAGCUUUGAGGAAAGCAUGGCAAUAUUGAGUGAAAAUGUCAAUAGAGGACACUUUUCAAGUCACCAGAACGCUGAGGACCAGAGCUGAUGCAAAAGCUGCAAGGCGAGCCCAUGGAGAAAAUGGGAAUUUGGAGCCGAAGCUGCAGACUUCGACGAAGUCGUUACCCUACUACAAAUCCAUCCCUUCUGUUUGACAAACUUAUAACAAAGUAAGUCGUCUUUUCUUGCAAACCUACUAAAAUGAUCCUUCUUAGCAAGCCUUUGUGCUAUGGCACGAUAUUGGCCUCAACUCGCUCUUUAUUUUGACAACAGAGAGGUAUUGUCACUCCUGGCAUUGAGAGUUCAGUAUACUCGGGUGUAGGCUGAGACUUCCUUACGUGCCCCCGUGUAUGCGAUGCGUUGCUACUGGUAACUACUGGCCACCAGUGACCGUUACUGGUCAGGUAUCACAGGCUUUCGGACUGUUUGGUCCGAGCAUUCCACUGCUUAGCAGUUUUCCUAGCUGGUGAGCGUAGGCGGUGCUCUCUUCAUUGUUCUACUGACGGUCACCUCUUUCCUUGGCCUACACUGGUAUUUUAUUGCCAAGCUGUUUAACCUGACUUUUUUGGGAUUGGGUAAUCAUGGCUCGUUAAGUCUGCCUGGACUGAGAGGGUGUGGGAGAGGAUGAGCUUGGAAGAAGUUGUGUUGCCAAAAAUGGAUGAAAUGGAGAAGGUCCAUAGAUGCCAAAUCCUGAAUUUGGAAGACGUUGAGAUAUCUUUUAAGAGUGGAGGAAGUAUCUUCUGCAGAAGACGUGAGAUAACAGGGAGAUGCUGGAAUGCAUGUCUUCUAUUCCAGUUUCUGAAUUGCCUUCUGCUUUUUGAAUGGACACUGUUUACAAACAGCUGUUUUGGACUUGGGUUUUUACUCCAAAUCUUACUAAAACCUCCGACUGGGGGACUGAGUAUGCCAAAAGACUGGUGCUUUCCAUCACCUUGGCAGUUUAAGCUGUUUAUCUUUUUAUCCUUAGCUCCUAAAUCAUAUUUCUCAUCCUGCUCAGGAACACAUUUCCUUGGAAAGCUUAACAAAAGUUAGUGCAUAGCUGCCUGUGUUUGUCACUCACUCGAAUUUUGAUUCCUGUUAACAUGUUUUUUUUUCUUGAUAGCUCACAAAGAAUCUCCAGUAUCAUUGGUGAGCAAUUGGCUGACGGGCAGGGCUCAAAGGGUUGUGGUAAAUGGGGCCACUUCAGGCUGGCAGAUGGUCACCAGUGGGGUCCCCCAAGGCUCCAUUUUAGGGCCAGUCCUCUUCAUUGCUUUUGUAAAUGAUUUGGAUGUAGGACUAGAAGGUGUUUUGAGCAACUUUGCCAAUGACACUAAACUCGAAGGAGUUGUGGACUCUGUUGAGGGUGGAAAGGCCUUGCAGAGAGAUCUGGACAGAUUGGAGAGCUGGGCGAUCACCAGCCGCAUGAAGUUUAACAAGA
Long non-coding RNA from Cygnus olor (mute swan), 2757 nucleotides. RefSeq lists it as uncharacterized. Lineage: Eukaryota; Metazoa; Chordata; Aves; Anseriformes; Anatidae. The record is from RefSeq and is a predicted model, not a curated record. The transcript is spliced from 7 exons.